UACGUAGGCGGCAAGCGUUGUCCGGAAUCAUUGGGCGUAAAGGGAGCGCAGGCGGAACAUUAAGCGGAUCUUAAAAGUGCGGGGCUCAACCCCGUGAGGGAGUGGAAACUACUUUUCUUGAGUGCAGGAGAGGAAAGCGGAAUUCCUAGUGUAGCGGUGAAAUGCGUAGAUAUUAGGAGGAACACCAGUGGCGAAGGCGGCUUUCUGGACUGUAACUGACACUGAGGCUCGAAAGCCAGGGGAGCGAACGGG
RNAcentral lists this ribosomal RNA (252 nucleotides) under uncultured microorganism. Its description in RNAcentral is "partial small subunit ribosomal RNA". It matches the Rfam family "Bacterial small subunit ribosomal RNA", at positions 524 to 776 of the family's 1533-position model. The record is from RNAcentral.